AGGGCGCACGGUGGAUGCCUUGGCACUAGAAGCCGAAGAAGGACGUGACUAACGACGAAAUGCUUUGGGGAGCUGUAAGUAAGCGCUGAUCCAGAGAUGUCCGAAUGGGGGAACCCACUAGUUAAUGACUAGUAUCCAUAUCUGUUAAGGAUAUGAGAAGGAAGACGCAGUGAACUGAAACAUCUAAGUAGCUGCAGGAAGAGAAAGCAAAAGCGAUUGCCUUAGUAGCGGCGAGCGAAACGGCAGGAGGGCAAACCGAAGUGUAAACACUUCGGGGUUGUAGGACUGCGAUAUAGGAUUAAUCAUUAUAGAAGAAUUACCUGGGAAGGUAAGCCAAAGAGAGUAACAGCCUCGUAUUUAAAAUGAUAGAUUAACCUUAGCAGUAUCCUGAGUACGGCGAGACACGCGAAAUCUCGUCGGAAUCUGGGAGGACCAUCUCCCAACCCUAAAUACUCUCUAGUGACCGAUAGUGAACCAGUACCGUGAGGGAAAGGUGAAAAGCACCCCGGGAGGGGAGUGAAAUAGAACCUGAAACCGUGUGCCUACAACAAGUUCGAGCCCGUUAAUGGGUGAGAGCGUGCCUUUUGUAGAAUGAACCGGCGAGUUACGAUAUGAUGCGAGGUUAAGUUGAAGAGACGGAGCCGUAGGGAAACCGAGUCUUAAUAGGGCGCCAUAGUAUCAUGUUGUAGACCCGAAACCAUGUGACCUACCCAUGAGCAGGUUGAAGGUGAGGUAAAACUCACUGGAGGACCGAACCAGGGCACGUUGAAAAGUGCUUGGAUGACUUGUGGGUAGCGGAGAAAUUCCAAACGAACUUGGAGAUAGCUGGUUCUCUCCGAAAUAGCUUUAGGGCUAGCGUCGAUGUUAAGUCUCUUGGAGGUAGAGCACUGUUUGGGUGAGGGGUCCAUCCCGGAUUACCAAUCUCAGAUAAACUCCGAAUGCCAACGAGAUAUAAUCGGCAGUCAGACUGCGAGUGCUAAGAUCCGUAGUCGAAAGGGAAACAGCCCAGACCACCAGCUAAGGUCCCAAAAUAUAUGUUAAGUGGAAAAGGAUGUGGGGUUGCACAGACAACUAGGAUGUUAGCUUAGAAGCAGCUAUUCAUUCAAAGAGUGCGUAAUAGCUCACUAGUCGAGUGACCCUGCGCCGAAAAUGUACCGGGGCUAAAACAUAUUACCGAAGCUGUGGAUGACACAAAAGUGUCAUGGUAGGAGAGCGUUCUAUGUGUGAAGAAGGUGUACCGUGAGGAGCGCUGGAACGCAUAGAAGUGAGAAUGCCGGUAUGAGUAGCGCAAGACAGGUGAGAAUCCUGUCCACCGUAAGACUAAGGUUUCCAGGGGAAGGCUCGUCCGCCCUGGGUUAGUCGGGACCUAAGGAGAGACCGAAAGGUGUAUCCGAUGGACAACAGGUUGAUAUUCCUGUACUAGAGUAUAUAGUGAUGGAGGGACGCAGUAGGCUAACUAAACCAGACGAUUGGAAGUGUCUGGUCAAACAGUGAGGUGUGAUAUGAGUCAAAUGCUUAUAUCUUUAACAUUGAGCUGUGACGAGGAGCGAAGUUUAGUAGCGAAGUUAGUGAUGUCACACUGCCAAGAAAAGCUUCUAGCGAUACAUAUACUCUACCCGUACCGCAAACCGACACAGGUAGUCGAGGCGAGUAGCCUCAGGUGAGCGAGAGAACUCUCGUUAAGGAACUCGGCAAAAUGGCCCCGAAACUUCGGGAGAAGGGGCGCUGAUUUUAGAUCAGCCGCAGUGAAUAGGCCCAAGCAACUGUUUAUCAAAAACACAGCUCUCUGCUAAAUCGUAAGAUGAUGUAUAGGGGGUGACGCCUGCCCGGUGCUGGAAGGUUAAGAGGAGUGCUUAGCGUAAGCGAAGGUAUGAAUUGAAGCCCCAGUAAACGGCGGCCGUAACUAUAACGGUCCUAAGGUAGCGAAAUUCCUUGUCGGGUAAGUUCCGACCCGCACGAAAGGCGUAAUGAUUUGGGCACUGUCUCAACGAGAGACUCGGUGAAAUUUUAGUACCUGUGAAGAUGCAGGUUACCCGCGACAGGACGGAAAGACCCCAUGGAGCUUUACUGCAGUUUGAUAUUGAGUAUCUGUACCACAUGUACAGGAUAGGUAGGAGCCUAUGAUAACGGGACGCCAGUUUCGUUUGAGGCGUUGUUGGGAUACUACCCUUGUGUUAUGGCUACUCUAACCCAGAUAGGCAAUCCCUAUCGGAGACAGUGUCUGACGGGCAGUUUGACUGGGGCGGUCGCCUCCUAAAAGGUAACGGAGGCGCCCAAAGGUUCCCUCAGACUGGUUGG
This 2298-nucleotide ribosomal RNA is filed under the name Streptococcus agalactiae. Its description in RNAcentral is "bacterial LSU rRNA". It matches the Rfam family "Bacterial large subunit ribosomal RNA", at positions 14 to 2334 of the family's 2925-position model. The record is from RNAcentral. Lineage: Bacteria; Bacillati; Bacillota; Bacilli; Lactobacillales; Streptococcaceae.